GAUGAAGAACGUAGCGAAAUGCGAUAAGUAAUGCGAAUUGCAGAAUUUCCGUGAGUCAUCGAAUCUUUGAACGCACAUUGCGCCCACUGGUAUUCCGGUGGGCAUGCCUGUUCGAGCGUCAUUAUCCUCCCUCAAACCUCGGGUUUGGUGUUGGACCCAAGUUGUGUGAACAACUGGUCUUAAAGACAAUGACGGCGUCCGUGGGACCCUCGGUGCAACGAGCUUUUAGGAGCACGCGCCGAGUUUCAAGGACCUUCCGGGCCGGUCUCCUUUACCAUUUUACAAGGUUGACCUCGGAUCAGGUAGGAAUACCCGCUGAACUUAAGCAUAUCAUAAGCGGAGGA
RNAcentral lists this unclassified non-coding RNA (344 nucleotides) under soil metagenome. RNAcentral's name for it is "partial contains 5.8S ribosomal RNA, internal transcribed spacer 2, and large subunit ribosomal RNA". The stretch from base 1 to 121 matches the Rfam family "5.8S ribosomal RNA", at positions 35 to 154 of the family's 154-position model. The record is from RNAcentral.